AUCAACGCUGGCGGCGUGCCUCAGACAUGCAAGUCGAACGAUUAAAGCUCUCUUCGGAGAGUGUAUAGAGUGGCGCACGGGUGAGUAACACGUAAGUAAUCUACCUUUGAGUGGGGAAUAACAGUCGGAACGACUGCUAAUACCGCAUAAUGCAGCGGCAUCGCAAGAUGACAGUUGUUAAAGGAGCAAUCCGCUUAAAGAGGAGCUUGCGGCAGAUUAGCUAGUUGGUAAGGUAAUGGCUUACCAAGGCUACGAUCUGUAUCCGGUCUAAGAGGACGGUCGGACACACUGACACUGAAUAACGGGUCAGACUCCUACGGGAGGCAGCAGUCGGGAAUUUUGGGCAAUGGGCGAAAGACCUGACCCAGCAACGCCGCGUGAAGGAUGAAGUAUUUCGGUAUGU
This 403-nucleotide ribosomal RNA is filed under the name uncultured bacterium. RNAcentral describes it as "bacterial SSU rRNA". It matches the Rfam family "Bacterial small subunit ribosomal RNA", at positions 32 to 426 of the family's 1533-position model. The record is from RNAcentral.